GGAAGCGAAAGAUGAGUAGAGAUUAAACAGUGGCACAGCUUUUUUUUUUUUUUUUUUUGAAGCGUGUCUACUGAAAUUGUAAAAUGACACUUUCACUGUUCUGGAUGCGGCUAACAGCGCAUUCACUGAGGUUUUUUUUAAUCAAAGUCUCUUGGAGCCAGUGCACCUCAUUACUUUCUAUUCCCUCGACACCUGCCUCGUUUUACUCUCACGACUCUCCGUUUCUCCAUCAUUUUUAUCCGCAUUCGUCCUUUUUUAUUUUUUUAUUUUGUGCCUGUUCGCAUCAUAUCGGACCAUAUGGCAGAGCAGGUUGGACUUGACACAUCCCAGGCACACACUCUCAUGCUGUGCAGACACAGCAACUUAUUUCCCCAAGGCACCUGGAACUAAGCAGGUGUGCUGGUAUCUAAAUGCCACCAUAAAGACUUGCAGCAACGACGCUUCAGAUGUAGCAGCACGCAAAAACAAAGCGAAUAAAAAAAAAAGGGGGCGAGGGGGCUUCCACUAAAAACUAAUAAAGAGCACGUGCGAGGGAGACGCCACACAUAAGCUGACUCCUUCACAAGGAAAAUGAAACACUUCAUAAAAUGCGGGUGAUUUUUCUAACGCUUCUUUGGAUCCGUGCUGAGGGUGUUUGUCAAUUGCUGCUGCCACUAGUCUGGAGGAGCAGAGUGGCUGGAGGAGGAGUGCUGGGUAAUGAGGUAGAGAACUGAAUCCACCACAUGACUGCCAUGAGAGAUUCAAGAACUUCAUCCACAACAGGACAAUAACCAUCUAGAUUGUUAACGGAAACAAUUAGAAACGUUCAGGUCUCUAUCUCUGGCUGCUGAGACAAGAGAUUCUCCGGAUCAGCGCUGCGAAUUCAUCCGGACUUUGAUGGAUUUCCCCUGACGCAGCUGCUCCAAGCCAACAACCUGACAGGCGGUGAGAGCGGGAGACGCAGAAGAGAGCUGCAGAUAGAUAGAUGGCACUUCACAUCUGCUGGACGUUCAGUGGAGUCAAGGGGGAUCUCCUAAAACUCGGAACAUAUUUCAGACCUCAAGGACGACCCCGCAGCCCUCCUCCUCCUCCUCCUCCUCCUCCCCCAAACGGGAGGGUGUUUGCAGGAUGGAGGUUUCAGAGAGCGUUUGUCUCACAUAGAGAGAUGUUUGGCGGCGUUGUUCUCACUGCAUAGAAUGAAAUGUCAACUUUUUUUCCGCCUCUCUUUUUAUUGCCAACUGGCACAGAGUUGCGUCCCGCUCCAAGCGUCUCUUCUGUUCUCUUUGAGUUAUGGUUCUGUUUGUUAUACAAUUAGCCCGCCAGGAUGGGCAUCAUAAAUAAAGCCAAGGGUGUAGAUCAGCAAGUUGUUCUCCCCCUUUUCACUCUGUUGGUCCCGGUCCAUCUGCGUAUGUAUGUGUCUGAGGUGACGUGUUGCGUGUCUGCUCCAUGUGGGACUGAAUAGCGGGAGUCAAAUCUUGUCGUAAAAAAAAAAAAAAAAAAAAAGGCGUCUCCGCUCUG
Poecilia latipinna (sailfin molly) is the source of this 1497-nucleotide long non-coding RNA. RefSeq lists it as uncharacterized. NCBI's taxonomy places the organism in Eukaryota, Metazoa, Chordata, Actinopteri, Cyprinodontiformes, Poeciliidae. The transcript has 3 exons. The record is from RefSeq and is a predicted model, not a curated record.